AUGACCUUCCUGCCUCCUCUGUGAUAUACCCUGGGUGUCAGAGAAUUGGUGGUAACCAUUUUAGCGGGGAGAGCGGAAUAUACAAGAGCAAAAAUGCACAGAACAGCAGUAUGCACUCUAGAAACCACAAGGAACUUGAGUCUGCAAAGCAUAAAGUUGCAAGGAGAGGAGUGGCUACUACUAAAGCCAGGGAGGAAGGCACAGGCCAAGUCAAGGAAGGCCUUCUAUAGUUCCUGAGGAGCCUGGGCUGCAUGUCGUGGAUGGUGGGGAGUCACUGGUCAAUUUCAGAUGGUCCAUGGUCAUGGAUUUUAGGUGCACGUCAAUCAAGGAACAGCCAGAUGAACCUCCAUGGACAAUAGUGUUAGUAGACACUAUCUAACGCCCAAAGUGUGGGGCCAGGAGCAGUUUCCACUCAAGACAUAAUU
Long non-coding RNA from Felis catus (domestic cat), 425 nucleotides. RefSeq lists it as uncharacterized. The record is from RefSeq and is a predicted model, not a curated record. NCBI's taxonomy places the organism in Eukaryota, Metazoa, Chordata, Mammalia, Carnivora, Felidae. The transcript has 2 exons.